This 487-nucleotide unclassified non-coding RNA is filed under the name Hevea brasiliensis (rubber tree). The record is from RNAcentral. Lineage: Eukaryota; Viridiplantae; Streptophyta; Magnoliopsida; Malpighiales; Euphorbiaceae.
CGCGCUGGUCUCCAGUUCCCUGUGGGGCGGGUUCAUCGUCUUUUGAAAACUAGGGUUUCUGCAAAUGGAAGGGUUGGGGCAACAGCUGCUGUUUACACAGCAGCUAUACUGGAGUAUCUUACCGCUGAAGUGUUGGAGUUGGCGGGGAAUGCAAGCAAGGAUCUCAAGGUGAAACGUAUAACACCAAGGCAUUUGCAGCUUGCUAUACGGGGGGACGAAGAACUUGACACGCUCAUCAAAGGAACCAUUGCUGGUGGUGGGGUUAUCCCGCACAUUCACAAAUCCCUCAUCAACAAAUCCUCCAAGGAGUAGUCUCCCCUUUGUGUUUGUACCCUAAAAGCUGAUUUAAAAAAUGUAUGAGAAACAGUGAUAAGCGAGGAACCCAAUUGUGCCCUGACAAUUCUAGUACUUAAAUGUUGUUUGACAAGCAGUGUUAAGUUUUAUUUGUGUUGAUCUCUCUGUUUUUGAAUUUGUUGGCCCUUCUUUU